CAGCAGCCGCGGGAACACGUAGGGGGCAAGCGUUAUCCGGAUUCAUUGGGCGUAAAGCGCUCGUAGGCGGUCUGUUAGGUCGGGAGUUAAAUCCGGAGGCUCAACCUCCGUUCGCUCCCGAUACCGGCAGACUUGAGUUUGGUAGGGGAAGGUGGAAUUCCUAGUGUAGCGGUGGAAUGCGCAGAUAUUAGGAAGAACACCAGUGGCGAAGGCGGCCUUCUGGGCCAUAACUGACGCUGAGGAGCGAAAGCCAGGGGAGCGAACGGGAUUAGAUACCCGCGUAGUCCCUGUCUCUUAUACA
RNAcentral lists this ribosomal RNA (301 nucleotides) under uncultured bacterium. RNAcentral's name for it is "partial 16S ribosomal RNA". It matches the Rfam family "Bacterial small subunit ribosomal RNA", at positions 509 to 809 of the family's 1533-position model. The record is from RNAcentral.